AGUGAACGCUGGCGGUAGGCCUAACACAUGCAAGUCGAACGGCAGCACAGUAAGAGCUUGCUCUUACGGGUGGCGAGUGGCGGACGGGUGAGGAAUACAUCGGAAUCUACUUUUUCGUGGGGGAUAACGUAGGGAAACUUACGCUAAUACCGCAUACGACCUACGGGUGAAAGCAGGGGAUCUUCGGACCUUGCGCGAUUGAAUGAGCCGAUGUCGGAUUAGCUAGUUGGCGGGGUAAAGGCCCACCAAGGCGACGAUCCGUAGCUGGUCUGAGAGGAUGAUCAGCCACACUGGAACUGAGACACGGUCCAGUCUCCUACGGGAGGCAGCAGUGGGGAAUAGUGGACAAUGGGCGCAAGCCUGAUCCAGCUAUACCGCGUGGGUGAAGAAGGCCUUCGGGUUGUAAAGCCCUUUUGUUGGGAAAGAAAAGCAGCAGGUUAAUACCCCGCUGUUCUGACGGUACCCAAAGAAUAAGCACCGGCUAACUUCG
This 490-nucleotide ribosomal RNA is filed under the name uncultured bacterium. RNAcentral describes it as "partial 16S ribosomal RNA". It matches the Rfam family "Bacterial small subunit ribosomal RNA", at positions 29 to 505 of the family's 1533-position model. The record is from RNAcentral.